UGCCAGCCGCCGCGGUAAUACAGAGGGUGCAAGCGUUGUUCGGAAUUACUGGGCGUAAAGCGUGCGUAGUCGGUAUUGAGAGUCACGGGUGAAAUCCCAGGGCUUAACCCUGGAACUGCCUGUGAGACCUCAGUGCUAGAGUGUGAGAGGGGAUAGUGGAAUACCCAGUGUAGCGGUGAAAUGCGUAGAGAUUGGGUGGAACACCGGUGGCGAAGGCGGCUACCUGGCUCACAACUGACGAUCAGGCACGAAAGCGUGGGGAGCAAACAGGAUUAGAUA
Molecule: ribosomal RNA, 279 nt
Filed under: uncultured bacterium
Lineage: Bacteria
Description: partial 16S ribosomal RNA
Rfam family: Bacterial small subunit ribosomal RNA
Source: RNAcentral